This 209-nucleotide unclassified non-coding RNA is filed under the name Hevea brasiliensis (rubber tree). Lineage: Eukaryota; Viridiplantae; Streptophyta; Magnoliopsida; Malpighiales; Euphorbiaceae. The record is from RNAcentral.
UUUAAUGUUAAAUUAUUAAAAAAUGAUUUUUUAUUUCUAAAACAUUAUUUUUUAAAUUGUUAGCAAAUUUUAACGGAGAAGGACGAAAAGUCAUUCUUUGCUAACGGGGCGAAUCCUUAGGGUACUACUUUGUUACAAAGUAAACCUUAGACCCUGAAAUGAAAGUAAGUGAAACCACAAGAUACUUUUUUAUAAUUUCCCCUAAAAAA